CAAGUUGAAGCAGACUGAGGUUGACUGUGAGUUCUUGAAGAGAUGCUGCGAGAAUCUAACGGAAGAAAACAGACGGUUGCAAAAGGAAGUUCAGGAACUGAGAGCACUGAAACUCUCCCCACAGUUCUACAUGCAAAUGACCCCACCUACCACCCUCACCAUGUGCCCUUCAUGUGAGCGUGUUGCGGUCCCACCAUCCGCAUCAUCAACCGUCAAUCCUUCUCAUCCGCGGGCCCACCCACAGAUCGGCCCCACUCACCACCACAGGCCUAUCCCGAUCAACCCAUGGGCCCCAGCUGCAGCUCCGUUUGAUGCCCUGCGUCCUCGGUCGUGAUCAACAACCGUAAACAAGGACAUUUUGGUCAUUGGGACAUGACAAAAAAAAAAUUAUAUAUUUUAAUGAUAAAAGGUUGCUGGAAUGUGUACUGUACGAAGGGAAGGG
This 442-nucleotide unclassified non-coding RNA is filed under the name Hevea brasiliensis (rubber tree). Lineage: Eukaryota; Viridiplantae; Streptophyta; Magnoliopsida; Malpighiales; Euphorbiaceae. The record is from RNAcentral.